Molecule: ribosomal RNA, 344 nt
Filed under: uncultured Sporidiobolales
Lineage: Eukaryota; Fungi; Basidiomycota; Microbotryomycetes; Sporidiobolales
Description: eukaryotic LSU rRNA
Rfam family: 5.8S ribosomal RNA (bases 1-73)
Source: RNAcentral
CAGUGAAUCAUCGAAUCUUUGAACGCACCUUGCGCUCCAUGGUAUUCCGUGGAGCAUGCCUGUUUGAGUGUCAUGAAUACUUCAACCCUCCUCUUUCUUAAUGAUUGAAGAGGUGUUUGGUUUCUGAGCGCUGCUGGCCUUUAGGGUCUAGCUCGUUCGUAAUGCAUUAGCAUCCGCAAUCGAACUUCGGAUUGACUUGGCGUAAUAGACUAUUCGCUGAGGAAUUCUAGUCUUCGGACUAGAGCCGGGUUGGGUUAAAGGAAGCUUCUAAUCAGAAUGUCUACAUUUUAAGAUUAGAUCUCAAAUCAGGUAGGACUACCCGCUGAACUUAAGCAUAUCAAUAA